CACAGGUGCUGCAUGGCUGUCGUCAGCUCGUGUCGUGAGAUGUUCGGUUAAGUCCGCUAACGAGCGCAACCCUCGCUGUGUGUUAUAUGUGUCACACGGGACUGCCGGUCUUAAGCCGGAGGAAGGUGGGGAUGAUGUCAAGUCAGCAUGGCCUUUAUAUCCUGGGCUACACACACGCUACAAUGGCCAACACAAUAGGUUGCUAAGCCGCGAGGUGGCGCCAAUCCAUAAAGUUGGUCUCAGUUCAGAUUGUAGGCUGCAACCCGCCUGCAUGAAGAUGGAGUUGCUAGUAACCGCAGGUCAGCUAUACUGCGGUGAAUACGUUCCCGGGCCUU
Molecule: ribosomal RNA, 335 nt
Filed under: uncultured Leptolinea sp.
Lineage: Bacteria; Bacillati; Chloroflexota; Anaerolineae; Anaerolineales; Anaerolineaceae
Description: bacterial SSU rRNA
Rfam family: Bacterial small subunit ribosomal RNA
Source: RNAcentral